Molecule: long non-coding RNA, 330 nt
Filed under: Brachypodium distachyon (stiff brome)
Lineage: Eukaryota; Viridiplantae; Streptophyta; Magnoliopsida; Poales; Poaceae
Description: long non-coding RNA (BDIS_LNC000319)
Source: RNAcentral
GGAGUUGGGGAUCCCCUUGGCUUUUCGUCACCCCCUCCGUGCGGCCAAGCGUGAGUUUCGUGAUAGUUGAGUCGUUGCUUCAAGUAUUUUUGCUUGCUUGACACUAACCCUGGUUAGUGUUUGUGCUUGUUUUUCAGUGGCCUUCUCCCGAGAGAAGGCGGACGAGUGGGCUUCCCAGAUGGUUGGGCCGUACAACUCGGUGGAGCAUCGGGCCUACGUCGAUACCAUCUACGAGGGAGGAUGCCACAACGUCGUGGUGGCGUGCUUCGACGACUCGGCACCGAUGCGCCCGGAUCCCAAGUUCAGGAAGCUCAUCAAGGCCGGCGAGCG